GGGGAAUAUUGGACAAUGGGCGCAAGCCUGAUCCAGCAAUGCCGCGUGUGUGAAGAAGGCCUUCGGGUUGUAAAGCACUUUUGUUAGGGAGGAAAGUCUGGUAGCUAAUAACUGCUAGAUCUGACGUUACCUAAAGAAUCAGCACCGGCUAACUCUGUGCCAGCAGCCGCGGUAAUACAGAGGGUGCAAGCGUUAAUCGGAAUUACUGGGCGUAAAGGGUCUGUAGGCGGAUUAUUAAGUCGGAUGUGAAAUCCCCGGGCUCAACCUGGGAACGGCAUUCGAUACUGGUAGUCUAGAGUGUGCAAGAGGAUGGGGGAAUUCCUGGUGUAGCAGUGAAAUGCGUAGAUAUCAGGAGGAACAUCAAUGGCGAAGGCACCUUUCUGGGGCAACACUGACGCUGAGAGACGAAAGCGUGGGGAGCAAAC
This 425-nucleotide ribosomal RNA is filed under the name uncultured bacterium. Its description in RNAcentral is "bacterial SSU rRNA". It matches the Rfam family "Bacterial small subunit ribosomal RNA", at positions 356 to 773 of the family's 1533-position model. The record is from RNAcentral.